CAGCCGCCGCGGGAAUACGGAGGGUGCAAGCGUUAUCCGGAUUUAUUGGGUUUAAAGGGUCCGUAGGCGGAUCUGUAAGUCAGUGGUGAAAUCUCACAUCUUAACUGUGAAACUGUCAUUGAUACUGCAGGUCUUGAGUAAAUUUGAAGUGGCUGGAAUAAGUAGUGUAGCGGUGAAAUGCAUAGAUAUUACUUAGAACACCAAUUGCGAAGGCAGGUCACUAAGAUUUAACUGACGCUGAUGGACGAAAGCGUGGGGAGCGAACAGGAUUAGAUACCCCUGUAGUCCCUGUCUCUUAUAC
This 301-nucleotide ribosomal RNA is filed under the name uncultured bacterium. RNAcentral describes it as "partial 16S ribosomal RNA". It matches the Rfam family "Bacterial small subunit ribosomal RNA", at positions 509 to 807 of the family's 1533-position model. The record is from RNAcentral.